CAGCAGCCGCGGUAAUACGAGGGGUGCAGGCGUUAUUCGGAUUGAUUGGGUGUAAAGGGUGUGCAGACGGCUUAUUAAGUCACUUGUUAAAUUCUUCGGCCUAACUGAAGGUCUGCAAGUGAUACUGAUGAGCUAGAGGGUGGAAGAGAGAAGUGGAAUUCCCGGAGUAGCGGUAAAAUGCGUAGAUCUCGAGAGGAACACCAAUGGCGAAGGCAGCUUCUUGGUCCAUUCCUGACGUUCAUACACGAAAGCGUGGGGAGCAAACAGGAUUAGAUACCCGAGUAGUCCCUGUCUCUUAUAU
RNAcentral lists this ribosomal RNA (301 nucleotides) under uncultured bacterium. RNAcentral's name for it is "partial 16S ribosomal RNA". It matches the Rfam family "Bacterial small subunit ribosomal RNA", at positions 509 to 809 of the family's 1533-position model. The record is from RNAcentral.